AGAGCCCAGCAAGGAGGGCUGGGAUUCACACUGAGCACGUGUGUCUGCCUCGGCUUGGGCUGUUUUCUGGGAUGGACUACCUGAAAUUCAUCAUGUCCACAUCCAUAUGUGUGAAAGUGCAUGAGGAGGACAUGGAAUGAUGCCACAUAUCUUGCUACAAAUAUGUAUAAACAGUUGCUGAAUGUAUGCAUACAGUAUCCCUCCUCAUUGCUGGGCUGUCAGACAUGACAAUCAGAAGCAUUAGCCCAUCCAGGACAACUUCAACUCUAAAAGACACUUAGGUAUUAUGACCAGGGUCCUGACUUGCCCAUCUAUUCUUAGGCAGAAAGGCCACUGUGAAGAGCACUCUAUGUCCCAGAUUGUUGUGCUCCUUCGGAAGGGGCUGAUAACUGUUAAUAGAAUGGAAUUCCAUAUAUAA
Mus musculus (house mouse) is the source of this 418-nucleotide long non-coding RNA. RefSeq annotates it as RIKEN cDNA 1700030F04 gene. The record is from RefSeq and is marked validated. NCBI's taxonomy places the organism in Eukaryota, Metazoa, Chordata, Mammalia, Rodentia, Muridae. The transcript has 4 exons.